This 498-nucleotide ribosomal RNA is filed under the name uncultured bacterium. RNAcentral describes it as "bacterial SSU rRNA". It matches the Rfam family "Bacterial small subunit ribosomal RNA", at positions 28 to 513 of the family's 1533-position model. The record is from RNAcentral.
GAUGAACGCUAGCUACAGGCUUAACACAUGCAAGUCGAGGGGAAACGAUAUUGGAAGCUUGCUUCCGAUAGGCGUCGACCGGCGCACGGGUGAGUAACGCGUAUCCAACCUGCCCAUCACUUGGGGAUAACCUUGCGAAAGUAAGACUAAUACCCAAUGACGUCUCUAGAAGACAUCUGAAGGAGAUUAAAGAUUUAUCGGUGAUGGAUGGGGAUGCGUCUGAUUAGCUUGUUGGCGGGGUAACGGCCCACCAAGGCGACGAUCAGUAGGGGUUCUGAGAGGAAGGUCCCCCACAUUGGAACUGAGACACGGUCCAAACUCCUACGGGAGGCAGCAGUGAGGAAUAUUGGUCAAUGGACGAGAGUCUGAACCAGCCAAGUAGCGUGCAGGAUGACGGCCCUAUGGGUUGUAAACUGCUUUUAUAAGGGAAUAAAGUGAGUCUCGUGAGAUUUUUUGCAUGUACCUUAUGAAUAAGGACCGGCUAAUUCCGUGCCAGCA